AAGUUGUUUGCAAACCGCUGUUAAACCACACUGAAGAAGAAAAAGAAGAAGAGAAUCUGUAGAAAUCCGAUACGAAUCGCAUUUAAAACGACUCAUGAAUGUGGUUAUAUGGGUAGCAAAAAUCGCUGUCCAUAUGUUGAUUACAACCUGGAUAUUGAAAAAAAUCCUGCUUGUACCGAACAUGAAAGCAACUGAUACUCUUCGAGACCUUUUUAAUAAAGACUGGAAGAUUUGGCUGUUGCGUCUAGGCAAUAGCAAAACGUCCAUGAACUGGACCUUUGAGCAGCAGUAUGAUGCAGGACAGAGUCUUUUGAAGACGGGACUGAGACGACUUUAGCAGAGCUCACCGAGCAGCACAGGCUCAGCCUGGAAGAAGAGGAACUCUUGUUGAAUGGAGUCUGUCCAUAUGGCAGAGUUGGAGACUCAGUGUACCACACCAGAACUCAACACACUGGAGUCAGAGUGUGUUACUGCACACAGCGGGGUCGGUGGUGGUUACCACACAGAUACACCAUUGAUAAAAACGGAAACAGAUCUGGGCCCCACCGAUACUGGAUAUUUUAAGACGGAGAGCCUUGACAGUACAGACCUGGGGUGUGUAACCCAUCUGCAUCCUGACCAAAUCAAAGCAGAGCCUGACUAUGGAGGCUACAUUCAGGCUCAACACAUCAGUGACUUGCAAGAUACAUGGGUUCAUAUUAAAUCUGAUGACCUGAAGUUUGAAUCCCGUGAAAGUUUAGUGAGUGGUCCUAUGGGUACUGUGAUGGAUGGAGCUACAGUUAAUCACAGAGGCCAGACUGAACCAUGGAAACAUACCGGAGAGCCAAAUUCAAACUGUAAAAAUAAAGGUGUUUGUGUGAAAAUGGCCUCUGCACAUACAUUUGAAAACCCACAGCCUUCUCGCCCAAAAUGGGAAUGGAAGUGCUGUGAUCCCUUACGACGGCAUAGAAAACCAGCAAAAAAAUCCCUUCGUCCAACGACCGUCAAUGCUGCACACAAAUACAGCAACGUGAUGCAUCUCGAAGUCAGCCCCGGUAAUAAGCUGUGUCCGUCAUGCAUUAUCAUUUUACACAGAAAGUGCAAAGGGAAUCCAAGUCCAGAUCCAGAUCCUGACCACGCUGAAAAGGAAAUGGAAGCAGAAAGACUCCAGUCACGCUGAAGUAGGCAUUUCAAUCCACUCUGGGUACACAGACUAGGAGCUCAUUCUCUGCCAAAAAAUAUAUGGACUAGGUGCAGAGGAAGCUGGGAAAUGCACCGGCCACUAUUCAACAACAGGUUUCAGAGGUAUUGAAUAUAGCAACAGAACCUUAAAAUGAAAUGGAUCAGAAGGCUAAACACCUUGACAGACUUGUUGACCUUAUGAAAGAAAAGAUCAAAAUAUCCAGCAGACAAACCAAUCCAAAUCUUAACUAUGGCGACACAUUCUGGACUGUCAGGAAAAUCAUGUCUGAAUUCAUUGUAACUUGAUGGAAUAUAAUUGUAUAUUUUUUGAAUAAAUUAUCUAUUUGACUUCA
Conger conger (European conger) is the source of this 1514-nucleotide long non-coding RNA. RefSeq lists it as uncharacterized. The record is from RefSeq and is a predicted model, not a curated record. The transcript is spliced from 4 exons. Lineage: Eukaryota; Metazoa; Chordata; Actinopteri; Anguilliformes; Congridae.